UACGUAGGGCCCAAGCGUUGUUCGGAUUUACUGGGCGUAAAGGGCGCGUAGGCGGCGCGGUAAGUCACUUGUGAAAUCUCUGAGCUUAACUCAGAACGGCCAAGUGAUACUGCAGUGCUAGAGUGUGGAAGGGGCAAUCGGAAUUCUUGGUGUAGCGGUGAAAUGCGUAGAUAUCAAGAGGAACACCUGAGGUGAAGACGGGUUGCUGGGCUGACACUGACGCUGAGGCGCGAAAGCCAGGGGAGCAAACGGG
Molecule: ribosomal RNA, 253 nt
Filed under: uncultured bacterium
Lineage: Bacteria
Description: partial 16S ribosomal RNA
Rfam family: Bacterial small subunit ribosomal RNA
Source: RNAcentral